This 465-nucleotide ribosomal RNA is filed under the name uncultured bacterium. RNAcentral describes it as "partial 16S ribosomal RNA". It matches the Rfam family "Bacterial small subunit ribosomal RNA", at positions 28 to 507 of the family's 1533-position model. The record is from RNAcentral.
GACGAACGCUGGCGGCGUGCUUAACACAUGCAAGUCGAACGGAAAGGCCCUGCUUGCAGGGUACUCGAGUGGCGAACGGGUGAGUAACACGUGGGUUAUCUGCCCUGCACUUCGGGAUAAGCCUGGGAAACUGGGUCUAAUACCGGAUAGGAGCCAUUUUUAGUGGGAUGGUUGGAAAGUUUUUUCGGUGUAGGGUGAGCUCGCGGCCUAUCAGCUUGUUGGUGGGGUAAUGGCCUACCAAGGCGGCGACGGGUAGCCGGCCUGUGGGGGUGGACAGCCACAUUGGGACUGAGAUACGGCCCAGACUCCUACGGGAGGGAGCAGUGGGGAAUAUUGCACAAUGGGCGCAAGCCUGAUGCAGCGACGCCGCGUGGGGGAUGACGGCCUUCGGGUUGUAAACUCCUUUCGCUAGGGACGAAGCUUUUUGUGACGGUACCUAGAUAAGAAGCACCGGCUAACUACGUG